GAAACCGGAGCUAAUACCGGAUAGUUCCUUGAACCGCAUGGUUCAAGGAUGAAAGACGGUUUCGGCUGUCACUUACAGAUGGACCCGCGGCGCAUUAGCUAGUUGGUGAGGUAACGGCUCACCAAGGCGACGAUGCGUAGCCGACCUGAGAGGGUGAUCGGCCACACUGGGACUGAGACACGGCCCAGACUCCUACGGGAGGCAGCAGUAGGGAAUCUUCCGCAAUGGACGAAAGUCUGACGGAGCAACGCCGCGUGAGUGAUGAAGGUUUUCGGAUCGUAAAGCUCUGUUGUUAGGGAAGAACAAGUGCAAGAGUAACUGCUUGCACCUUGACGGUACCUAACCAGAAAGCCACGGCUAACUACGUGCCAGCAGCCGCGGUAAUACGUAGGUGGCAAGCGUUGUCCGGAAUUAUUGGGCGUAAAGGGCUCGCAGGCGGUUUCUUAAGUCUGAUGUGAAAGCCCCCGGCUCAACCGGGGAGGGUCAUUGGAAACUGG
This 497-nucleotide ribosomal RNA is filed under the name Bacillus stratosphericus. RNAcentral's name for it is "bacterial SSU rRNA". It matches the Rfam family "Bacterial small subunit ribosomal RNA", at positions 153 to 636 of the family's 1533-position model. The record is from RNAcentral. Lineage: Bacteria; Bacillati; Bacillota; Bacilli; Caryophanales; Bacillaceae.